This is a long non-coding RNA of Bradysia coprophila, 198 nucleotides long. NCBI's taxonomy places the organism in Eukaryota, Metazoa, Arthropoda, Insecta, Diptera, Sciaridae. The record is from RefSeq and is a predicted model, not a curated record.
GUUCACCCUAAGUCGAUGUUAAAGCUAAAUCAUUUUCAAAACAUCAGUUCUCAACUGUUCGCUCGAGAGGAAAGCAGCAACUUGAAUAGCGUUAAGAAUGACACCUACGUUGCACUUAGUCUUUUGCUUGGUACUGCUGUCAGCAGUGAUGGCAUCUACACAACUGGAUUCAUCCCUUUUGGAAAGCCUUAGUGGUGG